Molecule: ribosomal RNA, 292 nt
Filed under: uncultured bacterium
Lineage: Bacteria
Description: partial 16S ribosomal RNA
Rfam family: Bacterial small subunit ribosomal RNA
Source: RNAcentral
GUGUCAGCAGCCGCGGUAAGACGUAGGAUGCAAGCGUUGUCCGGAAUUAUUGGGCGUAAAGAGUUCGUAGGCGGCAUGAAAAGUCUGGUGUUAAAGCCCGGAGCUCAACUCCGGUUCGGCAUUGGAUACUUUCAAGCUAGAGUACAGAAGAGGCAAAGGGAAUUCCUAGUGUAGCGGUGAAAUGCGUAGAUAUUAGGAGGAACACCGGUGGCGUAAGCGCUUUGCUGGGCUGUAACUGACGCUGAGGAACGAAAGCCAGGGGAGCAAAUGGGAUUAGAAACCCUCGUAGUCC